CCUACGGGUGGCAGCAGUGGGGAAUAUUGGACAAUGGGCGAAAGCCUGAUCCAGCCAUGCCGCGUGUGUGAAGAAGGCCUUCGGGUUGUAAAGCACUUUCAGUGGGGAAGAAAGCCUUGGGGCUAAUACCCUCGAGGAAGGACAUCACCCACAGAAGAAGCACCGGCUAACUCCGUGCCAGCAGCCGCGGUAAUACGGAGGGUGCGAGCGUUAAUCGGAAUUACUGGGCGUAAAGCGCGCGUAGGCGGUCUGAUAAGCCGGUUGUGAAAGCCCCGGGCUCAACCUGGGAACGGCAUCCGGAACUGUCAGGCUAGAGGGCAGGAGAGGAAGGUAGAAUUCCCGGUGUAGCGGUGAAAUGCGUAGAGAUGGGGAGGAAUACCAGUGGCGAAGGCGGCCUUCUGGACUGACACUGACGCUGAGGUGCGAAAGCGUGGGUAGCAAACAGGAUUAGAUACCCCGGUAGUC
RNAcentral lists this ribosomal RNA (465 nucleotides) under Vreelandella stevensii. RNAcentral describes it as "partial 16S ribosomal RNA". It matches the Rfam family "Bacterial small subunit ribosomal RNA", at positions 338 to 795 of the family's 1533-position model. Lineage: Bacteria; Pseudomonadati; Pseudomonadota; Gammaproteobacteria; Oceanospirillales; Halomonadaceae. The record is from RNAcentral.